Long non-coding RNA from Drosophila montana, 827 nucleotides. RefSeq lists it as uncharacterized. The record is from RefSeq and is a predicted model, not a curated record. NCBI's taxonomy places the organism in Eukaryota, Metazoa, Arthropoda, Insecta, Diptera, Drosophilidae. The transcript is spliced from 2 exons.
UAAGUAUGUAUGUGCAUACAUAUAUACGAUCAUAUUUAUGCUAUGCGCUUGACUGUAUAUAUUUAUAUUUGUUUAGACUUGCAACAGAGUGUUACAAGUUGAGUUAUGUAUAUAAGUGUAUAAAUACACUACAAGCUUCUCCAACCAUUCUGAACAGUAUCAACAACGGAAUCUAUAUAUCCGUCUCUCUGUUUAUACUUUGAACCCAUCGAUAAUAGAUAAUGGAUAAAAAGUUUCAUUUUUUGAGCAAAUUUAUGUAACACAUAGAAGGAAGUCUCUCCGACGCCGUAAAUAUUAACGCAAGGAUUUCAGAGCCUAUAAGAACUAGGACUUGUGUUGCAAAUCUUUUAAAAUCUAGUGUCACCAAAUUAGCUUCUAGAAUGGUAUAUACAGGUCAAGUAUAGUAUAUACAGUAAGUAGUAUAUACGCAAGGUUGCCGGCCUGCUAUGGAACGUGACAACGGACGCCAUCGAACGCGAUCUCAGCUUAACAAAGGUCGCAGAUCAGUUAAACUGCUUCAGCAGCAGCCGAUACGCCGAAAAGCUGAUGAAGCAGCCGAACGUGGCCGCCAGGGUCCUGGCUGACCCCAUCAGAGAGAGGCGCCUCCAAAGGCUACACCCCGACGACCUACCUUCGAGGCUUAUUAUUUAAACAUAUCCUUCCCCAUCAUUGCAAAUAAAUUCAUUGUAAAUAUCAUAUAAGUUACACACUAGUAACUAUACAUUCUUCCCUUAGUUAAUCGCUUGGUAGAGAUCAGAAGGCACUGAUAUAACAAGCAAAAUAAAACAUAUAAAAAAAUAAAAAGAUUGUUAAAUCGAUAAACAGCA